RNAcentral lists this ribosomal RNA (1540 nucleotides) under uncultured bacterium. RNAcentral's name for it is "bacterial SSU rRNA". It matches the Rfam family "Bacterial small subunit ribosomal RNA". The record is from RNAcentral.
GAUGAAUGCUGGCGGCGUGCCUGAGAUAUGCAAGUCGAACGCUUCUUCGUUUCUCACUUUGUUUCGAAACUACGACGCGCGAGGCGGGACUCACAAAAUUAGAGUUCAGCUUUGCUCGCCGAAGCUCCGAAUUAGAGUGAGGAGCGGAGGAGAGUGGCGGACGGCUGAGUAAUAAGUAAGAAUUUUCCCCAAAGACUCACAUAGCUCACCGAAAGGUGGGGUAAUUUGAGAUAGUCCCCUUCGCAAGAAGGGGUAAAGACGCAAGUCGCUUUGGGAUAAGCUUGCUUCCUAUCAGGUAGUUGGUGGGGUAAUAGCCUACCAAGCCUACGACGGGUAGUUGGUCUCAUGAGGAUGAUCAACCAGAGGGGGACUGAGACACGGCCCCCACUCCUACGGGAGGCAGCAAUCAGGAAUAGUCGGCAAUGGACGAAAGUCUGACCGCGCGACGCCGCGUGUGGGAUGAAGCUUCACAAGAGUGUAAACCACUGUGGUAGGGGAAGAGAAAGGACGGUACCCUACUAGAAAGUAGCCGCUAACUGCGUGCCAGAAGCGUCGGUAAUACGUGGGCUACAAGCAUUAUCCGGUGUCAUUGGGCGUAAAGGGUCGUGUAGGCGGAUUGAUAAGUCACUUUUCAAAUCUUCGGGCUUAACUCGAAAACUGGGAGUGAUACUGUUGGUCUAGAAGUUUCUUUAGGGAGAACGGAACUGUGGGAGGAGUAGUGAAAUGCGUUGAUACCCACGGGAACACCAGUGGCGAAGGCGGUUCUCUAGAAGAAUCUUGACGCUGAGACACGAAAGUUAGGGGAGCGAAGCAGAUUAGAGACCUGCGUAGUCCUAACUGUAAACGAAUGUAUGCUGGCUGCAUGGUUUUUCGAGCAAUCGAGAUUCCGUGUGGCGAAGGUAACCCGUUAAGCAUACCGCCUGGGGAGUACGGCCGCAAGGUUGAAACUCAAAGGAAUUGGCGGGGAGGCACACAACCAGAGGAACAUGUGGUUUAAUUCGAUACGAAACGAAGAACCUUACCAGGGCUUGACAUGCUACCGUUUUAGUCCGCUGGAAACAGUGGAUGAUCCGCAAGGAUGGUAGUGCCGGUGAUGCAUGGCUGUCGUCAGUUCGUUCCGUGAGGAGUGCCCUUAAGUGGGACAACGAACGCAACCCCUGUCGUCUGUUACAAGUGUCAGACGAGACCGCCCCCUCUCUUUUCUUCAUACAUAAUUAUGAGGAGGAGUGAGGGGGAGGAAGGCGGGGCAGACGUCAAGUCAGCACGUCCCUUAUGUCCUGGGCUACACACAUGUUACAAUGAGCUUUAACAACGAGUCUUGCGAGCCGGCGACGGCAAGCAAAUCUCUGAAAUGAGCUCUCAGUGGGGAUUGGAGUCUGCAACUCGACUCCAUGAACUUGGAUUUGGUAGUAAUCGCGGGUCAGCUAUACCGCGGUGAAUACGUUCUUGCCUCUUGCACACACCGCCCGUCAAACCAACAAAGUUGGUAUCAUGUGAACUGCGGCUUUGCCGUGGGAGCAUAGUGCUAGCGAUGAGGGUU